This 253-nucleotide ribosomal RNA is filed under the name uncultured bacterium. RNAcentral's name for it is "partial 16S ribosomal RNA". It matches the Rfam family "Bacterial small subunit ribosomal RNA", at positions 524 to 776 of the family's 1533-position model. The record is from RNAcentral.
UACGUAGGGCGCAAGCGUUGUCCGGAAUUAUUGGGCGUAAAGAGCUCGUAGGCGGUUUGUUACGUCUGCUGUGAAAACCUAGGGCUUAACCCUGGGCUUGCAGUGGAUACGGGCAGACUAGAGGUAGGUAGGGGAGAAUGGAAUUCCUGGUGUAGCGGUGAAAUGCGCAGAUAUCAGGAGGAACACCGGUGGCGAAGGCGGUUCUCUGGGCCUUACCUGACACUGAGGAGCGAAAGCGUGGGGAGCGAACAGG